UGGGGAAUAUUGCACAAUGGGCGCAAGCCUGAUGCAGCAACGCCGCGCGAGGGACGACGGCCUUCGGGUUGUAAACCUCUUUUGGCAGGGAAGAAGCGAAAGUGACGGUACCUGCAGAAAAAGCACCGGCUAACUACGUGCCAGCAGCCGCGGUGAUACGUAGGGUGCAAGCGUUGUCCGGAAUUAUUGGGCGUAAAGAGCUCGUAGGCGGUUUGUCGCGUCUGCUGUGAAAACCCAAGGCUCAACCUCGGGCCUGCAGUGGGUACGGGCAAACUAGAGUGCGGUAGGGGAGAUUGGAAUUCCGGGUGUAGCGGUGGAAUGCGCAGAUAUCAGGAGGAACACCGAUGGCGAAGGCAGAUCUCUGGGCCGUAACUGACGCUGAGGGGCGAAAGCAUGAGGAGCGAACA
RNAcentral lists this ribosomal RNA (407 nucleotides) under uncultured bacterium. Its description in RNAcentral is "bacterial SSU rRNA". It matches the Rfam family "Bacterial small subunit ribosomal RNA", at positions 355 to 774 of the family's 1533-position model. The record is from RNAcentral.